UCGGGAAUAUUGCGCAAUGGAGGAAACUCUGACGCAGUGACGCCGCGUGCAGGAAGAAGGUUUUCGGAUUGUAAACUGCUUUAGACAGGGAAGAAAAGGACAGUACCUGUAGAAUAAGCUCCGGCUAACUACGUGCCAGCAGCCGCGGUAAUACGUAGGGAGCAAGCGUUAUCCGGAUUUAUUGGGUGUAAAGGGUCGUAGACGGGAAAUUAAGUUAGUUGUGAAAUCCCUCGGCUUAACUGAGGAACUGCAACUAAAACUGGUUUUCUUGAGUGCUGGAGAGGAAAGUGGAAUUCCUAGUGUAGCGGUGAAAUGCGUAGAUAUUAGGAGGAACACCAGUGGCGAAGGCGACUUUCUGGACAGUAACUGACGUUGAGGCACGAAAGUGUGGGGAGCAAACAGGAUUAGAUACC
RNAcentral lists this ribosomal RNA (413 nucleotides) under uncultured bacterium. Its description in RNAcentral is "bacterial SSU rRNA". It matches the Rfam family "Bacterial small subunit ribosomal RNA", at positions 355 to 786 of the family's 1533-position model. The record is from RNAcentral.